CUCCCUAUGAGAGUGAACGUGGUCCCGCCCACGACAGGCAUCCCUCUCCCUCCCUUCUGCGCCUGCGCGGCCUCCUCGGCGUCACCGGAAGCUCCGUCACAGGGCGGCAAGAUGGCGGCCCGGCCCGGUCAGAGGCGUUCGGGGCGGCGUUUCCACGGUGACCCGGCAAGGAUGGUAAUCGCAAAACAAUGGAAAAGUGAGAAAGCCCCAUCGAAAGAUGCCUGGCUGACCAAAUGGACUGAAAUAAAGGAUAUGGACAAACUUACCUUCUGAAUGAGAAAGAGCAACGGAAGAGCUAUAAGAGCCACGGACUGGUCAAACUUUGAAGACUACCUUGUUACUUCAGAGAAGGGAACCAGCAAGGUUGUAUUCAGAUUUUCUGGGAAGUUGUAGUUUAGGUAAACAUAAUGAAGAUUUUACUGAUUGCAGUACAGUCUCCUUAUCUAUAGAUUUGAUAUGCAUGGUUUUACUUACUGUAGUAAACUCUCCCCUCCAAAGUGUUUGUAGGCCUCUCUAUGUUCUUCACUGCAAUUCUGUGAUAUGUUUCUGGCCCAAAUAUCAGCGAAAUAUAAGGUUUACUUGCAUCCAUGGGGAUCUUAGAAUGGGAGGUAUAUGUAAUAGUUUAACCCUUAAGCUCUUCCUCAUUAAAAAAAUUGCAGGAAAGUCUAGUUAUUUUUCCCCCUCCACAAAUGUCUUGCAGGCAUUACAUUUUUUGUUCUUUUUAAAAUGUAAUACAAUGGUAUAAUUUCCCCCCCCCUCCCAAGCACAUCUUCUCUGUUGGUUUCUUCUUUUCUGGGUAGGAGAUAUUACUUUUUGGAGCCAACCCGGGAUUUUAUCAGUAUAUUUAUUGUAUGUGACCUCAUUUGUUUUAUGAUUUGUUUUAUUGUUGAUUGACUUGUUUUAUUGAUAUGUUUUUAUAUUGUCUGAUAUCUGGGCUUGGCCCCAUGUAAGCCGCCCUGAGUCCCUUCGGGGAGAUGGGGCGGGGUAUAAAACUAAAAUUAUUAUUAUUAUUAUUAUUAUUAUUAUUAUUAUUAUUAUUAUUAUUAUUACCUUAAGAAAAGAUGAUAAGAACUAUCUAAUUGGAACAUAAAUGAUUAGUGACAAAGAUCGGAAGUCAAUCCCCCCCCCAUUGCUAGUGUCUAUCCCCUCUCACAAUCCCUAAUCCAGACACACUUGCCCUGCCCCUGCCCUCCCUUCCCUGUUCCCCUGCCGUAUGUCGUCUUAUGUUUUAUGUUUGAUGUUUUAAAAGAAACUUCUCAAUAAAAAUGAUACAAAAAAUAAAAUAAAAAAAUAAACUUAACCAAACCUGGCUGUUUAAACAAAAUCAAAUAAACAUGUCAUCCAUAAAUCAAAAUAAAAACACACACUUCUUUACACCAACUUUGGUUGCAAAUGUAUGCAAUUUCCUUGAGAAACCUCUUCCUUCCUUCCCAGGCACCAUUUCUUAAACCCAGAAAGGGAAAACACACGUAGGAGCCGCCUGAAUUCUCACUUCUCUGUCCUUACGGCUGAGUUACAACUCGCUGAGCUUGUUUUGAUUCUGUUUCUAUACAAAACGGUGGCUCCCAUCAUGAAAUCAAUAAAGUUUAUUAUUUCACGACG
Anolis carolinensis (green anole) is the source of this 1602-nucleotide long non-coding RNA. RefSeq lists it as uncharacterized. Lineage: Eukaryota; Metazoa; Chordata; Lepidosauria; Squamata; Anolidae. The transcript has 2 exons. The record is from RefSeq and is a predicted model, not a curated record.